RNAcentral lists this ribosomal RNA (253 nucleotides) under uncultured bacterium. RNAcentral describes it as "partial 16S ribosomal RNA". It matches the Rfam family "Bacterial small subunit ribosomal RNA", at positions 524 to 776 of the family's 1533-position model. The record is from RNAcentral.
UACGGAGGGUGCGAGCGUUGUCCGGAAUCACUGGGCGUAAAGGGCGCGUAGGCGGCCUGAUAAGUAGGGGGUGAAAUCCUGCGGCUUAACCGCAGGGCUGCCUUCUAAACUGUCAGGCUAGAGCACAGUAGAGGCAGGUGGAAUUCCCGGUGUAGCGGUGAAAUGCUUAGAUAUCGUCAAGAACACCUAUUGCGAAGGCAGCUAACUAAGCUUUAACUGACGCUGAGGCACGAAAGUGUGGGGAUCAAACAGG